UUCUAAGACCACACCAUCCUGAACACACUCAAUCUCAUAUGAUCUCAGAAGCUAAGCAUGAUUGAGCCUGAUUACUUGGAUAGGAGACCACCUGGGACUACCGGGUGCUGUAAGUU
Molecule: ribosomal RNA, 116 nt
Organism: Loxodonta africana (African savanna elephant)
Lineage: Eukaryota; Metazoa; Chordata; Mammalia; Proboscidea; Elephantidae
Source: Ensembl